Molecule: ribosomal RNA, 253 nt
Filed under: uncultured bacterium
Lineage: Bacteria
Description: partial 16S ribosomal RNA
Rfam family: Bacterial small subunit ribosomal RNA
Source: RNAcentral
UACGUAGGGGGCUAGCGUUGUCCGGAAUGAUUGGGCGUAAAGCGUCCGCAGGUGGCAGUUCAAGUCUGCUGUCAAAGACCGGGGCUUAACUUCGGAAAGGCAGUGGAAACUGAACAGCUAGAGUAUGGUAGGGGCAGAGGGAAUUCCUGGUGUAGCGGUGAAAUGCGUAGAGAUCAGGAAGAACAUCGGUGGCGAAGGCGCUCUGCUGGACCAUAACUGACACUCAGGGACGAAAGCUAGGGGAGCGAAUGGG